RNAcentral lists this ribosomal RNA (648 nucleotides) under Enterobacter sp. RNAcentral describes it as "bacterial SSU rRNA". It matches the Rfam family "Bacterial small subunit ribosomal RNA", at positions 67 to 706 of the family's 1533-position model. Lineage: Bacteria; Pseudomonadati; Pseudomonadota; Gammaproteobacteria; Enterobacterales; Enterobacteriaceae. The record is from RNAcentral.
CGGUAGCACAGAGAGCUUGCUCUCGGGUGACGAGUGGCGGACGGGUGAGUAAUGUCUGGGAAACUGCCUGAUGGAGGGGGAUAACUACUGGAAACGGUAGCUAAUACCGCAUAAUGUCGCAAGACCAAAGAGGGGGACCUUCGGGCCUCUUGCCAUCAGAUGUGCCCAGAUGGGAUUAGCUAGUAGGUGGGGUAACGGCUCACCUAGGCGACGAUCCCUAGCUGGUCUGAGAGGAUGACCAGCCACACUGGAACUGAGACACGGUCCAGACUCCUACGGGAGGCAGCAGUGGGGAAUAUUGCACAAUGGGCGCAAGCCUGAUGCAGCCAUGCCGCGUGUAUGAAGAAGGCCUUCGGGUUGUAAAGUACUUUCAGCGGGGAGGAAGGUGUUGUGGUUAAUAACCGCAGCAAUUGACGUUACCCGCAGAAGAAGCACCGGCUAACUCCGUGCCAGCAGCCGCGGUAAUACGGAGGGUGCAAGCGUUAAUCGGAAUUACUGGGCGUAAAGCGCACGCAGGCGGUCUGUCAAGUCGGAUGUGAAAUCCCCGGGCUCAACCUGGGAACUGCAUUCGAAACUGGCAGGCUAGAGUCUUGUAGAGGGGGGUAGAAUUCCAGGUGUAGCGGUGAAAUGCGUAGAGAUCUGGAGGAA